GAUGAACGCUGGCGGCGUGCCUAAUACAUGCAAGUCGAGCGAACAGACGAGGAGCUUGCUCCUUCGACGUUAGCGGCGGACGGGUGAGUAACACGUAGGUAACCUACCUAUAAGACUGGGAUAACUUCGGGAAACCGGAGCUAAUACCGGAUAAUAUUUCGAACCGCAUGGUUCGAUAGUGAAAGAUGGCUUUGCUAUCACUUAUAGAUGGACCUGCGCCGUAUUAGCUAGUUGGUAAGGUAACGGCUUACCAAGGCAACGAUACGUAGCCGACCUGAGAGGGUGAUCGGCCACACUGGAACUGAGACACGGUCCAGACUCCUACGGGAGGCAGCAGUAGGGAGUCUUCCGCAAUGGGCGAAAGCCUGACGGAGCAACGCCGCGUGAGUGAUGAAGGUCUUCGGAUCGUAAAACUCUGUUAUUAGGGAAGAACAAACGUGUAAGUAACUGUGCACGUCUUGACGGUACCUAAUCAGAAAGCCACGGCUAACUACGUG
This 497-nucleotide ribosomal RNA is filed under the name uncultured bacterium. Its description in RNAcentral is "partial 16S ribosomal RNA". It matches the Rfam family "Bacterial small subunit ribosomal RNA", at positions 28 to 507 of the family's 1533-position model. The record is from RNAcentral.